GCUUGCUUUGGCAGCUAAUACUAAAAUUGGAAUGAUAUAGAGAAGAUUAGCAUGGCCCCUGUGCAAGGAUGACAUGCAAAUUUGUGAAGCGUUCCAUAUAAAA
Trichosurus vulpecula (common brushtail) is the source of this 103-nucleotide small nuclear RNA. The record is from RefSeq and is a predicted model, not a curated record. NCBI's taxonomy places the organism in Eukaryota, Metazoa, Chordata, Mammalia, Diprotodontia, Phalangeridae.